AGUGAACGCUGGCGGUAGGCCUAACACAUGCAAGUCGAACGGCAGCACAGGAGAGCUUGCUCUCUGGGUGGCGAGUGGCGGACAGGUGAGGAAUACAUCGGAAUCUACCUUUUCGUGGGGGAUAACGUAGGGAAACUUACGCUAAUACCGCAUACGACCUACGGGUGAAAGUGGGGGACCGCAAGGCCUCACGCGAUUAG
RNAcentral lists this ribosomal RNA (200 nucleotides) under uncultured bacterium. RNAcentral's name for it is "partial 16S ribosomal RNA". It matches the Rfam family "Bacterial small subunit ribosomal RNA", at positions 29 to 224 of the family's 1533-position model. The record is from RNAcentral.